CUUCCAAAAUACAGACCCUUCUAUCAAUUGGUUUCGCAAAUAGUAAAAAAACCAUAUCGAAAGUGAAAAAUGGGGAAGCAACGGGGAAGGGCCGGGCCAUUGUUAUUUAGCACCAGUGUCAUCUUUAAAACUGUACAAUGAUGAAAAUACCCCUAUUUUAUAAAGAGGAAACUAAGAAAAAGACGCCAAACUCAAUCACUCGACCUCUUUUCCUUAAACUUGCAAUCCACACUUCCCUGAGUCUCAUUUUAGCCCCCUUUUGUUUUAGCUGAAAGAGAUGGCAGUGGUGCUGGCAAUGGUGGUUCAUGGCAUGGGAUUGCUUGUGAAGACUCUUUGGGGUGUGCAAGAGAGGCGCUUCUCUGCAACUUUUGAAACUCUGCGUUCAGCUGCUAUUUCCAUGACAACAGCGUUUGUUUUCUGCCUUUUGUCCAUUCAUAGGCAUGCAAGACCAGAGAUUGGUCUUGCCUUCAUUUGAUCAUUUUUUUUCUUUUUCGUUCUUGAAUUUUAUUGACUGUCCAUCUGUCAGUAAUUUAAGAUCAGUUUGUUCUAUAGAAUUGCUUUCUUGUAGCACUUCAAGCUUUUCUUACUGAUCAACAAGAUUAUAUGUGUAAUAUACCAGAAUAUAUAUUCAUAUUUAUAUUUACCAACAUUUUGUAAAAUUUGGUCAUUAUUAGCAAAGAUUGAUGGAGUCAUUCAUGUAUUUUUCAAGUUGCAGUGUGGUUGUUAGUUAUAAACUUUUGUUGUAUUUUUUUUAAAGAGAAUUUUCUAAGCAAUGAUAGUAAAUAUCUGUUUGUUCA
Molecule: long non-coding RNA, 797 nt
Organism: Gossypium raimondii (Peruvian cotton)
Lineage: Eukaryota; Viridiplantae; Streptophyta; Magnoliopsida; Malvales; Malvaceae
Exons: 2
Source: RefSeq, a predicted model, not a curated record